This 749-nucleotide ribosomal RNA is filed under the name Kurixalus bisacculus (green-limbed tree frog). Its description in RNAcentral is "partial 12S ribosomal RNA". The stretch from base 1 to 502 matches the Rfam family "Bacterial small subunit ribosomal RNA", at positions 794 to 1533 of the family's 1533-position model. The record is from RNAcentral. Lineage: Eukaryota; Metazoa; Chordata; Amphibia; Anura; Rhacophoridae.
GCCAAGCCGUAAAUAAUUAACUUACACCAAUCAACGCCAGGGAACUACGAGUUUUAACUUAAAACCCAAAGGACUUGACGGUGUCCCACCCCACUAGAGGAGCCUGUCCUGUAAAUGAUGAUCCCCGAUAUACCCAACCAUUUCUUGCUUAUCAGUCUGUAUACCGCCGUCGUAAGCUUACCGUAUGAACGCACAACAGUAGGCCUAAGGACUUACCCGCCAUAACGUCAGGUCAAGGUGCAACUUAUGUAAUGGAAAGUGAUUGGCUACAAUUUCUAACUUAGAACAUACGAAAAACUUAUAUGAAACAUAGUCAUGAAGGUGGAUUUAGUAGUAAAUAAGGAAUAGAGAGCCUUAUUAAACCCGGCCCUGGGAUGUGUACAAACCGCCCGUCACCCUCUUCGAUAGCCCUAAAUAGCUUAAUAACCUAAUCCCGCAUAGUAGAAGAGGCAAGUCGUAACAUGGUAAGUGUACUGGAAAGUGCACUUGGUACAACAAAAUGUAGCUUAACUAAAGCCACUCGCUUACACCGAGUAAACGUCUGUGCAACCCAGAUCAUUUUGAGCCCGAAAUCUAGCCUAAAAAUAAUUAAAUACAAACACCCCAUUAUAUCUUUCUAGUUAAAACAUUUUAACUGUUAAGUAGAGGAGAUCAAAAAUAUCUGAGCGCUUAAGAAAUAGUACCGUAAGGGAACGAUGAAAUAAAAAUGAAAUAAAUUUAAAGCCAAUAAUAGCAGAGACCAUACCUCG